Molecule: ribosomal RNA, 492 nt
Filed under: uncultured bacterium
Lineage: Bacteria
Description: partial 16S ribosomal RNA
Rfam family: Bacterial small subunit ribosomal RNA
Source: RNAcentral
AGUGAACGCUGGCGGUAGGCCUAACACAUGCAAGUCGAACGGCAGCACAGUAAGAGCUUGCUCUUACGGGUGGCGAGUGGCGGACGGGUGAGGAAUACAUCGGAAUCUACUUUUUCGUGGGGGAUAACGUAGGGAAACUUACGCUAAUACCGCAUACGACCUACGGGUGAAAUCAGGGGAUCUUCGGACCUUUCGCGAUUGAAUGAGCCGAUGUCGGAUUAGCUAGUUGGCGGGGUAAAGGCCCACCAAGGCGACGAUCCGUAGCUGGUCUGAGAGGAUGAUCAGCCACACUGGAACUGAGACACGGUCCAGACUCCUACGGGAGGCAGCAGUGGGGAAUAUUGGACAAUGGGCGCAAGCCUGAUCCAGCCAUACCGCGUGGGUGAAGAAGGCCUUCGGGUUGUAAAGCCCUUUUGUUGGGAAAGAAAAGCAGCAGGUUAAUACCCCGCUGUUCUGACGGUACCCAAAGAAUAAGCACCGGCUAACUUCGUG